This 490-nucleotide ribosomal RNA is filed under the name uncultured bacterium. RNAcentral's name for it is "partial 16S ribosomal RNA". It matches the Rfam family "Bacterial small subunit ribosomal RNA", at positions 30 to 523 of the family's 1533-position model. The record is from RNAcentral.
AUUGAACGCUGGCGGCAGGCCUAACACAUGCAAGUCGAGCGGGGGUAGCAAUACCCUAGCGGCGAACGGGUGAGUAAUGCCUAGGAAUCUGCCUCGUAGUGGGGGACAACGUUUCGAAAGGAACGCUAAUACCGCAUACGUCCUACGGGAGAAAGUGGGGGAUCUUCGGACCUCACGCUAUGAGAUGAGCCUGGGUACGAUUAGCUAGUUGGUGGGGUAAGGGCUCACCAAGGCGACGAUCGUUAACUGGUCUGAGAGGAUGAUCAGUCACACUGGAACUGAGACACGGUCCAGACUCCUACGGGAGGCAGCAGUGGGGAAUAUUGGACAAUGGGGGAAACCCUGAUCCAGCCAUGCCGCGUGUGUGAAGAAGGCCUUCGGGUUGUAAAGCACUUUAAGCAGGGAGGAAGGUUUGCUGGUUAAUACCUGGCAAAAUUGACGUUACCUGCAGAAUAAGCACCGGCUAACUCUGUGCCAGCAGCCGCCGUAA